ACCUGGGUGGCUCUAUCGGUAGAGCGCCUGACUCUUGAUUUUGGCUCGGGUCAUGAUAUUGUGUUCGUGGGCUCGAGCCCCACAUCAGGUU
This 91-nucleotide transfer RNA is filed under the name Felis catus (domestic cat). It matches the Rfam family "tRNA". From Rfam's summary of the family: Transfer RNA (tRNA) molecules are approximately 80 nucleotides in length. Their secondary structure includes four short double-helical elements and three loops (D, anti-codon, and T loops). Further hydrogen bonds mediate the characteristic L-shaped molecular structure. tRNAs have two regions of fundamental functional importance: the anti-codon, which is responsible for specific mRNA codon recognition, and the 3' end, to which the tRNAs corresponding amino acid is attached (by aminoacyl-tRNA synthetases). tRNAs cope with the degeneracy of the genetic code in two manners: having more than one tRNA (with a specific anti-codon) for a particular amino acid; and 'wobble' base-pairing, i.e. permitting non-standard base-pairing at the 3rd anti-codon position. Lineage: Eukaryota; Metazoa; Chordata; Mammalia; Carnivora; Felidae. The record is from Rfam by way of RNAcentral.